Papaver somniferum (opium poppy) is the source of this 919-nucleotide long non-coding RNA. RefSeq lists it as uncharacterized. Lineage: Eukaryota; Viridiplantae; Streptophyta; Magnoliopsida; Ranunculales; Papaveraceae. The record is from RefSeq and is a predicted model, not a curated record. The transcript is spliced from 3 exons.
CUCUAUAUUUCAACCUCCCCCUGUGCAGCUGUUCUACUUCUACCAUGUUCUUCUUUACUCUUUAGCUACUCUUCGCCUAAACAAUUCAUACCUGUAGCAGAGAUGGACGGGAAUCCUCCAGCGCAAUUAUUUUUGGAGUAUCAGCAGAAUCUAUGCAACGCUCAUAUGAUUUUUGAGAGAUUCGUGUACAAACGGUACUCCUUUUGAUGCCGAGACACUGUAUUCUCAAGGGGAGUUGUGCCAAAUGACAUUGAUGUGCAUGUGCAUCGUAUGCCAGAACAUCUAAAGGUUCUAGCAAGCAAUACGAUAUUCCUCGGUGUAGUAAUCUUUCUCCCCUUUUCAAUAGGCCGAAUCAUUCUCUACUAUAUUUCCUGGUUUUUCUCCACAGCUGCAAGUCCCAUGUUCUCGAUGUUCUCCACUGUUGUUACAAAUUUGUCAUCUGAAACACAUAAAGACGGCUUGCUUUCUCAAGCUUUGGAAGUGGUUGCCGAAACUUCGAAUGCAACUACUACUGGACUAGAUUUAGUUUAAAAAAGUGUCGGAAAAUGACGAGUAGAUGCUAGCUCACGGCUAUCUGAUGCCACUACUCUUGCUACAGGUUGCAUAUUUAUUGUUUCUAUGGUAUUUUUCUAUCUUGGAAUCGUUGCUUUGAUACGCUAUGUUAAGGGUGAGGCUCUGUUUGUGGGGAGACUUUAUGGCAUCACUUUAAUAGCAAAUGCUUAGUAGAGAAUUCCUGAUAGCUAUUAGGAACUUAAUGACUAUGGUCAAGGUUGCAUCUCUUCUGGUAGUUAAGCUUGGGGUUUUUCCUUUGAUGUGCAGUUAUCAUGUGACUAGGAGUAUUUUGUUCAUGAUGAUCCAAGUAUGUAAAGAUUCUGAAAGAUUUUGCCCAGUGAUGAAUGAAACGGCCGGUUUCCAUGUA